Molecule: ribosomal RNA, 500 nt
Filed under: uncultured bacterium
Lineage: Bacteria
Description: partial 16S ribosomal RNA
Rfam family: Bacterial small subunit ribosomal RNA
Source: RNAcentral
AUUGAACGCUGGCGGCAUGCCUUACACAUGCAAGUCGAACGGCAGCACGGGAGCAAUCCUGGUGGCGAGUGGCGAACGGGUGAGUAAAGUAUCGGAACGUGCCCAGUCGUGGGGGAUAACCCGGCGAAAGCCGGACUAAUACCGCAUACGACCUAUGGGUGAAAGCGGGGGAUCGCAAGACCUCGCGCUAUCGGAGCGGCCGAUGUCAGAUUAGCUUGUUGGUGGGGUAAAAGCCUACCAAGGCGACGAUCUGUAGCUGGUCUGAGAGGACGACCAGCCACACUGGGACUGAGACACGGCCCAGACUCCUACGGGAGGCAGCAGUGGGGAAUUUUGGACAAUGGGCGCAAGCCUGAUCCAGCCAUGCCGCGUGCGGGAAGAAGGCCUUCGGGUUGUAAACCGCUUUUGUCAGGGAAGAAACGCUCCGGGUUAAUACCUCGGAGUAAUGACGGUACCUGAAGAAUAAGCACCGGCUAACUACGUGCCAGCCGCCGCGGUAA